GAUUAGAUACCCCGGUAGUCCUGGCCGUUAACGAUGGGUACUAGGUGUAGGAGGUAUCGACCCCUUCUGUGCCGGAGUUAACGCAAUAAGUACCCCGCCUGGGGAGUACGACCGCAAGGUUGAAACUCAAAGGAAUUGACGGGGGCCCGCACAAGCGGUGGAGUAUGUGGUUUAAUUCGACGCAACGCGAAGAACCUUACCAGGUCUUGACAUUGAUGGACAGAACCAGAGAUGGUUCCUCUUCUUCGGAAGCCAGAAAACAGGUGGUGCACGGUUGUCGUCAGCUCGUGUCGUGAGAUGUUGGGUUAAGUCCCGCAACGAGCGCAACCCCUAUCUUAUGUUGCCAGCACUUUGGGUGGGGACUCAUGAGAGACUGCCGCAGACAAUGCGGAGGAAGGCGGGGAUGACGUCAAAUCAUCAUGCCCCUUAUGACCUGGGCUACACACGUACUACAAUGGGAGUUAAUAGACGGAAGCGAGAUCGCGAGAUGGAGCAAACCCGAGAAACACUCUCUCAGUUCGGAUCGUAGGCUGCAACUCGCCUACGUGAAGUCGGAAUCGCUAGUAAUCGCAGGUCAGCAUACUGCGGUGAAUACGUUCCCGGGCCUUGUACACACCGCCCGUCACACCACGAAAGUCGGAAGUGCCCAAAGCCGGUGGG
This 660-nucleotide ribosomal RNA is filed under the name uncultured bacterium. Its description in RNAcentral is "bacterial SSU rRNA". It matches the Rfam family "Bacterial small subunit ribosomal RNA", at positions 776 to 1434 of the family's 1533-position model. The record is from RNAcentral.